AGUCGAGCGAGAAAAGGGGAGCAAUCCCCUGAGUAAAGCGGCGCACGGGUGAGUAACACGUGGGUAAUCUGCCCUGGAGUGGGGAAUAACACCGGGAAACCGGUGCUAAUACCGCAUACGAUAACGAUGUCUGCGGACGUUGUUAUGAAAGGAGCAAUUCGCUCCAGGAGGAGCCCGCGGCUGAUUAGCUAGUUGGUGAGGUAAUGGCUCACCAAGGCAACGAUCAGUAGCCGGUCUGAGAGGACGGUCGGCCACACUGGAACUGAGACACGGUCCAGACUCCUACGGGAGGCAGCAGUGGGGAAUUUUUGGCAAUGGGGGAAACCCUGACCAAGCAACGCUGCGUGGAUGAUGAAGUAUCUCGGUACGUAAAAUCCUUUCGACAGGGAAGAAACCCGCAAGGGUUGACGGUACCUGUAGAAGAAGCCCCGGCUAACUCCGUGCCAGCAGCCGCGGUAAUACGGGGGGGGCAAGCGUUGUUCGGAAUUACUGGGCGUAAAGGGCGCGUAGGCGGUUUGCUAAGUUGGACGUGAAAACUCUGGGCUUAACCCAGAGCCUGCAUCCAAAACUGGCAAGCUAGAGUAUUGGAGGGGGAAGCGGAAUUCCUGGUGUAGCAGUGAAAUGCGUAGAUAUCAGGAGGAACACCGGUGGCGAAGGCGGCUUCCUGGACAAUAACUGACGCUGAGGCGCGAAAGCUAGGGGAGCAAACAGGAUUAGAUACCCUGGUAGUCCUAGCCCUAAACGAUGGAUACUUGCUGUGAGGGGGAUUGAAUCCCUUCGUGGCGAAGCUAACGCAUUAAGUAUC
This 805-nucleotide ribosomal RNA is filed under the name uncultured Bacillota bacterium. RNAcentral's name for it is "bacterial SSU rRNA". It matches the Rfam family "Bacterial small subunit ribosomal RNA", at positions 60 to 868 of the family's 1533-position model. Lineage: Bacteria; Bacillati; Bacillota. The record is from RNAcentral.